RNAcentral lists this transfer RNA (63 nucleotides) under Biomphalaria tenagophila. RNAcentral describes it as "tRNA-Asn". Lineage: Eukaryota; Metazoa; Mollusca; Gastropoda; Planorbidae. The record is from RNAcentral.
UUUAAAUGCGAUAAUAUCGUAAAAUUUAAUUAACAGUUAAAUGCUGUACACAGCUUCAUUUAA